Molecule: long non-coding RNA, 1206 nt
Filed under: Athene cunicularia (burrowing owl)
Lineage: Eukaryota; Metazoa; Chordata; Aves; Strigiformes; Strigidae
Description: lncRNA (ENSACUG00000010313.1)
Source: RNAcentral
UGGGCAUUUCCUGAAAGUAGAUCAGUUCUGACACAAUGAUGCCCAACGGGGGAAUGGUGCAUGGCUAAGUAACCCCAGGAGUGACCCUCCUUCACACCGUUACAGCACACACACAGAUAAUUUUUUUUUUUCCCAGUAAGUCGUUUGUGUUCUGUGGGUUUAGGUCUUCCAGCUAUCUCCCAAAAUUUAAGUUUUGAAACAAGAUUGUACUGGAAUGUUGGUAAUCGGAGCUCUUAUUUCUAGGGACACACUGGUCACAAAGGAGAACCUGGCGAAAUAGGAAAAGAAGGAGAGAAGGGCAACCCUGGCCCUCCUGGUCCUCCAGGCGUUCCCGGCAGCGUUGGCCUGCAGGGCCCAAGAGGACUAAGAGGCCUCCCUGGUCCAAUGGGUCCAGCUGGCGACAGAGGUGACAUUGGCUUCAGAGGGCCACCUGGAAUCCCAGGACCUCCAGGGAAAGCUGUAUGUAUCUGCUUCUCAGCAUCUCCGUGGCCCUGCCUGCCACAGACAAAGCCUAAAGUUUAUUCCUCCUGCACUAAACUCUACUGCCAGUGAGGAGGAGGAGCGUGCUGACUGUCUCCAUCAAAUUAUUCCCUUUGCCUUCUUCCCUCCACCUAGAGCGAUGUUGUUUCACCUGACCCAGCUCUUACGCUGUCCCUCCCUGGGUUGUGCCCCGUGCCAGAGUAAGGUCACCCCACAUUUCCAUUGCUCUUCCCUGAACAUCAGCAGCUGCAGACAAGCGCUUGAGGGGCAUCUGUGGUGUUCUUGGGAAGGAGAGUUUGGAGGAAGGAUCAGUAAGCGCUAUCCUGGGCUUACGCCCUUUGAGCCUGGUCUAUUCCCAAGUGCCCGCAGCUUGCAAGGACUUUAGCUACAAGCAGAAGUAGUUGUGUCUUAAAGAUGCAGAGCUCUGGGGUGAAGUGUGGAACACUGAACACGCACGCUUACCUGUGGGCAGAGUCCUGUACCCUCCUUACUGUGCCCAAAAUGAGACCUGAGCUGCAUCUGCAGCCCCGUGGCUUCUCUGAGAGCAUUUCCCACCCUUCUUGUGGGUAAUAUGACAUCUGCUCGGUAGCAGGCACCUACACCAGCCAACCACUGCUGUCUGCAUUGUCCCCAAGGCAGCACCACCCUCUGGGGACCCUUCCCCAGUCUUUGUAAUUAUAGAAGAAAUUCAUCUGGACUAAAAUAAAAUGAGGUGCUCUCUGCCCA